UCAUCUUCUUCAUCACACCACUAGAAGACCACCCCUUUGAGCAACGACCUUAAACCGUCCAUUCCUGCUUCUUCAUCGGAUAACCUAGAGAACCCUUUAAGAACAAAGCUGUUGAUCCCAUUUCCUCGACAAAAAUCAGUGAAAACGGACCCUACUUCUAAACACAACAGCCGUAGAACCCUCCUCUAUUUUUCUGUACGCAAUACACACAUACAAAAAAUGGGAGAAAGCCUGGAAAGAAUUCUGGGAGAAAAAGAUUAGGAAAUGAAAAGAGUUCCAUUUUCUUCUCUGAUUUCCAUUCAAAAAUGGAGUUGGAGUGAGCGAGCUAGUCGCUAUUGAAGUCUGCCGUUCGAGGUUGCUGUUGGAGGUUUACGUCCGAAACUCCAUCCGUGUAAUUGCGGUAAUUCAAUUAAUCAUAAAACACUAACUUCAGCUUUCAAUUGGACCUGUUAUCAAUGAAGCUCGUUAUUCUGUGGUUUACCAAGGAUUGUGAGUCCCUUCUUUUUCCUCUUAUUUCUACUUCUCUCUGUAUCUCUAUUUUCUUUUCAAGUAAUCUUCAAUUAAUUUCUUGAAUUGGAUUUUAUCUAAAUUUUUAUUUUGGAAUACACUAGAUCAUUCUUGAAUUGUGGGC
This 631-nucleotide long non-coding RNA is filed under the name Nicotiana benthamiana. RNAcentral describes it as "long non-coding RNA (NBEN_LNC030048)". Lineage: Eukaryota; Viridiplantae; Streptophyta; Magnoliopsida; Solanales; Solanaceae. The record is from RNAcentral.